CUUCUUCCUCCAGCGCUUGCUGCCGUUGCUGCCUUCGACCUCUUCCUCUGUCGGUCUAGCCUCCCACUGCGUCGGGCCUCCUCCGCGCUGCAGCCCCAUACCCCACCUCCCGAUCUGCAUUCUCCCUUCCCCGCCCCCGCUCCUCUGUGCUGCUGCGUCGGCUGCCGAGACCCGUCUGCUGCGGCGCCGUGCCUCGGCUGGAUGGAGCGAGGGAGACAGCCACGCGCCCUCGCCAUCACGUUCGUGGUGGCCUUGCUUCUGAUUUCCACCUCUUCCUCGUGCUAGGGUUGAGAGGCCAUGGCGGAAGGUCAUGGUGGCCUUGCUCCUGAAAGGAGGUGGCGGAACUUUGCAGUACAGGUCUUGGCGGCAACACUUGUGGAGAAAGAGGCCAACAAGAUUGAAGAACUGGGUUGGAAGGAAAGGGACAUGAAUGACUGGACAAUUGGAAGAAGAGUCGUGCUAUGCACAUGACAAAAUUCGGAUGAUUCACGCAUGAUGAUUAAAUCUAGCUGGACAUGUGUAUGAUUGAAAAGGGCGCUGCCUGUUGGAUUUACAUGUCGCGCAUAGAUCGGGCACAAGUAUCACGUACAGAGCAGUUUUAUUCGAAGAAAUACUUCCAAAUGAUGUGUAAGUGUCUCAGAAAUGGUUUCAUUGUUGCAUUUGUUACUCAUUGAUGAAGUCUUCUGUUUGCGGCUAUCACCUGAAUGUUGUGGAUAAAUUUCAUUUCAUCAAAAAUUUCAAUGCAAAUUACUGAUGGAUUUCGAUUGCUAAUGCUUUUUUUAUUUCAUGUCCAACAAGUUCCGGUUAAGUAGGAGAUUCUUCUCCACGUAAUGCUCUUCCUUGCUCUUGGAUAGUAGAGUUAUUUUGAUUUCUCCUUCUUAAGCUUCUCAACACACUGAUAUUCUUUGAAGCAGGGCUCCCCUAAAGUUGAGGCUAAGACGUCUCUUUUUUUGCACACAUUGAUGCAUAUUGUACAAGAAUUGCCAAAUAAAAUAAAAAUAUUGGUUGUUGAGAUGGCACACUUAUUUGAACACAAAGUGCAAGAAACAUGGGUGGUCUCAUAAAGAGGGCAUGUUUUUUUUGUCUGAGGUCAGAUCUUGAUUUUUUUUCUAGCAUUUAAAUUAUCUGGUCCUAGCAGUGGAUUUCUUAGUCACCUGUUGCAUCAAGCAGUUCUCACAUUGUAGGAGCCAAAAUUCAUCUAGCGAAGGUGGGUGGUAUACCAUUUAAACCGACAAAUAACUAUGACCUUGGCGAUUCACACAUAUGCCGAUUUUGGGUUCUAUCCUUGGUUGUAUACCUUCCUAAAAAAGAUUGCUCUGUACUUAUACAUAUAGCAAUCUCCCUACAGCCAAACUGGGUGGUCCCUGUCUGUCAUCUGAUUUAAACGCUUAUUAAGCAUGGCUGAGUGUGAGGUCCAUGUGUCGUUUGUUUGCUCUUUUCGGUUGUGCAUUGUGGAGCUGCUCGGCUGAGGAGAAGGGGAAAAGGGUUACUAGCGGGUGUGGGGUGCAGGAUACGCUUCCUUGCAUCUGCGGGUGGGACUAGAGGUUGAUGCGUCAGUGUGAGGGCUUCCCAUGAGCAGCACGUCGUCUGGUGGUGGGUUGGUUUUGUGCUGCUCCUCCUUUGUCUUGCCAGGGGUAGGGUUUGGUGUUUUUUUCUUUUCAUGUUUUCUACAAUCAUCGUUUUAGUUCGGUUUGAGGACAGUGAUGGGCUGGAAGAGGGUUGUGGGAUUCCAUGUUGAUGUGGGUUUGGUUGGGUGUUCUGGAGGGCGUGUUCAAGUUUCCAUUUGGUGGAUUUCUUGCGUUUUGGUCCGGGGAGCCAUCCCUUGUGCUUGCGAUUGUGAUUUCUCUCGCCAAGAAAAUAGCACUACCGCCCCUAGGGAAGGCUCCAGUGUGCAAAUUCUUCCUCGAUUUAUUCUCACAGUAGGUAUGGUGCAUCACCCCCUAGUUUCACUUGGCAAUAGUUUGUAGGUGAUAUACAAUUCAGUCGUGGUAAUCUUGCAUCCAUGCAUCCUCACGGCCACGCAAAUUGAGAUUAAUUGCAUGAAGAAUGGUAUAUCAAUUAUGUGUUGAUAAAGCUAUGAAUUACAAUAACAUUUUUUAUAUUAUUUGGGGUAUGUGCUUGUUGUUCUUUGUAAUAUAGGAGAGGGGCAGAGCAUCAUUCUUCAUCAAUUAGAGAACACAACUACUCUGCAAUUUUAUGAGUGUGUUUCCUCCCAAAUUCCAAGUAUCAUUAGUAUAUAGUGCGAAGACAUGUACUACUACUAAUAUAAUUCAUUUGAAAUAACAUAACCUUCCCAUUUUCCUUCUAUAGGUAGCAAACCAUUAUGAUUAAGAAUGUUUUGGAGUCGAUUGAGUGCUAUAAAUAAUUCAUUAUUGUCAAAUCAAUGUGUGUCAUAGGCCAUGGGAUGCACUUGGAUUUGGUUAAUUCUUUACCAACUAUAAUAAAAAAAUGUUCUCCAACUACACUAUUGUGAUAGCUAUUGCCUAUCGGGGAAGGUGUGCCAUAUGUUUUGUCUAGAAUGUAAGCCAACUAGGAAGAGGGCAUGAUAUUCCCCUCUAUUUCAUUCAACUUCAACAUUUCUUUGCUGGCAUAAUUGUUGUCUUUUCGUACGAACUUCUCUAGAAAGGCUAUGGCUUGGGUUCUAGCAUUACAUAUUCAGAACUACUGACAUUCAUUAAGCUUACAUAGGUUAAAUUUCAAACUUCAUAAAAUUUGAAAUCUUACUGCAAUACUUUUGUGGGUGGUAAUAGUAUAAGGCAUUGAUUCCAGAAGAAUAUAACAUAAUGUAUUCAUAUGGGAUCUUGAGCACCUAAAAGAUUUAACUAAGCAACUAUUAGAUUCUUAUUUAUCUGAAUGGAGAUAAACAUGUUGUGCUAGCAUGAAGUUGAUAAGCUACAGUUUCUAGGGACAUCCUGAAUAUUGGUAACAAUGUUGUUUCCAAUCUGAAUUGAUGGCCUUUUAACUCAUGUAUCAUUUGUAUGUUGGUUGGUGUGGGCCCAAUAAUCACUGCAAAUGGUAAACUAGCAUAUAUCAGUGGUGAAGAGGUAUCCUUAAUGAAGGAUGUGACUCUAAUGUACAAUGUUUUAUGGUCUUUAUAUUCAGUAUGCUAUUUUGUCCAAUUUAAACCUGAUUGUGAGUGCCCCUUAUUUCAUACUGAAAUGCUAAAUUUUUCAAGAAAAUCCCUUGUUUAAUGCUAGAUGGGCCAUCAGAGCUAAUGCAUAAAAAUAUAAAUUCCCAAAUUUACUUAUUCUGAUCGUCUGAAUGGAAUAGGUUUCCUCACAACAUUAUUAGUGUCCUUGCAUUUCCUUUCGUGCCUACAUAUUGGUAGGUGCCUAUGAUAUAAUGUCAUAACUUAUGAGUGCUUAAAUCUUCAUGAAGUGAACUUGCCGCUGGUUGCUCCUAUUGUCAUAUUUGAUUAAUUUGGUUUUCUCAUGUCAUAUUUGGUUAAUUUAGUUUUUCUUUGUUGCUACUUUAGCACUUUGCACUUAACCUCACAAGAUUGUCUCAAAAAAAGAAUUUAACCUGACAAGAGAUGCAAUAAAAAUUGCGCCAAAGGGCACCUCAAUACUUGGUUGCCAGUACUAGGGAGUGGAAUGUGAAGGCCAAGAGCAACUAUCGACAUAAAAGCAUAGUACUCCCUCUGGAAAGAUUUAUAAGACGUUUUAGAAAGUGUAGUUCAAAUCUCGGCACGUUAAGAAAAUUCGGUCGUUUCCAUUUUUGCCCCUGCGCUCACUCACUCACCCGCACUCACCCAUUCCCCUCUCGCACUCACUUGCCCGCGUCGACAUCUCCCUGCCCGAAUCCGGCGCGGUGGCGACGCGCCUCACUCUCCGGCGUGGUGGCGACGCUCCUCCCUCUCGCCCGCGUCGACACCUCCCUCUCGCCCGCGUCGACACCUCCCUCUCGGCCGCUUCGCAGCCUCCCUUCUCCUCUUGUCGCCGCCUCUCCCUCUCCUCGCCCGCGUUGUCUAGCCAAAAUUGUUUUUUUAGUGAGGUCAGGAUGAGCGGGAGGAGCGCGUUCGUCCCCCGCGCCGACGUCGGCGUCGAGGAAUAAGCAGGUGGAGGGCAUGGCGGAGCGCCGCCGCCGCAAGCACCUCAAUGACCUCCGCUCCGUCUUACUCCAAGAUCUAGAAGGUCACACAUUGCCGCCAAUGGAGCAGAGCAAAAGGAGGAGGGCGACACCCAGGGAGAGGGGUGGUAGGAACACGAGCGAGCGGCUGUUUUAGAUGAGGAGGAGCGGAGGCAGCGAUGACAUGGUGCAGGCGACCUUCCAUCUGUUGCUGACCAGUGGAGGAGGAGCAGGAGGACGUCGGCGC
Long non-coding RNA from Triticum aestivum (bread wheat), 4315 nucleotides. RefSeq lists it as uncharacterized. The transcript has 3 exons. Lineage: Eukaryota; Viridiplantae; Streptophyta; Magnoliopsida; Poales; Poaceae. The record is from RefSeq and is a predicted model, not a curated record.